AAGUCGUAACAAGGUUUCCGUAGGUGAACCUGCGGAAGGAUCAUUAACACGUAUCCAACGUUAAACCCCCCUGUGAACUUUUAUACUUGCUCUCCUAGCCCGCCGGAAUUGCAAUCCCUGGUAAAUCAUUGUUGAACAGAUUUUGAUUCAGGGACCUCAGUUUGGUAGGCGAAGAUCGAGCGAUCGUUGCAAGUGGCCUGGUUUCCCCAAGCAGUCAGUGUCUGGAAGUGUCAUCGAUUGUAAGGAUAACGCUUUUCGAUCACUAGAGGCCGAACCGGCCGGUGACCAGGUCGCUUUAACCCCACGACCUGAACUCGCCUCGUAGGAAACUGCUGGGCAACAAAACGAACAACGUUAACAAUGGAUAUCUUGGUUCU
Molecule: unclassified non-coding RNA, 377 nt
Filed under: fungal sp.
Lineage: Eukaryota; Fungi
Description: partial internal transcribed spacer region
Rfam family: Eukaryotic small subunit ribosomal RNA (bases 1-46)
Source: RNAcentral